RNAcentral lists this ribosomal RNA (276 nucleotides) under uncultured prokaryote. RNAcentral's name for it is "partial 16S ribosomal RNA". It matches the Rfam family "Bacterial small subunit ribosomal RNA", at positions 524 to 800 of the family's 1533-position model. The record is from RNAcentral.
CACGGGGUUGCGAGCGUUGUCCGGAAUUACUAGGCGUAAAGGGCAGGCAGGCGGAUCCAUAAGUUUAUCGUUUAAGGCGUCGGCUUAACCGGCGUAGGGCGGUAGAUACUGUGGAUCUGGAAUGCGGUUGGGGAAGACAGAAUUCCUGGUGUAGCGGUGGAAUGCGCAGAGAUCAGGAGGAAUACCGAAGGUGAAGGCAGUCUUCCAAGCCGUUAUUGACGCUCAACUGCGAAGGUGUGGGUAUCAAACAGGAUUAGAUACCCGUGUAGUCCCUGA